Homo sapiens (human) is the source of this 828-nucleotide long non-coding RNA. NCBI's taxonomy places the organism in Eukaryota, Metazoa, Chordata, Mammalia, Primates, Hominidae. The record is from Ensembl.
UACUUAGACAGACUAUGAAGAGAUACAUAGGGUGAGAAACGGAGGCCUUCAGCCAACAGCUGGGAGAAGCUGAGUCCCAUCAGCCAUUCAAAAGACUGCAGCCCCAGCCAAGAGUUUGAUGUAACCUCAGGAGAGACCCUGAGCCAGAACCACCUAGGAGAUGAUGAGCUCCUGGGCAAGACUGAGGUUUGUGUCAUUUUGCAUCCCCAGCACCGAGAAGAGUACCUGGCACUUAUUGGUGCGCAGACAAUGUUUACUGCAUGAUUAGAAGGUUUAACUGGAAAAACCUACUAACCUCUGAAAUCUCCAAGUGAGAAGACCUUACUUGUCUUCUGAAAGUCUGGCCAACGAGCUAUACCUAGUGAUUCCAAAGUCCACAUAUAUUUACUCUGUUCUCACUGUACAAAGUAACCACUCUGAAGUCAAAAAAGCUGGGAUACAUGAAGACUGCCAUCCCUUGAGUCACUUGCCCUGUAGCUGCCACUGUUGGAAAAGGGCUUGCUUCUGUGUCCUUGUGCCCACUUUGAAAAUCCCUGGGAAGUCCUUGGAGUCAGAUGAGCAGGCCUCCGCCACUCUGCCAAAAAGUCUGUUCAAUCAGGAGUCCCCAACCCCUGAGCCAUGGACUGAUAUGGAGCUAUGGUCUGUUAGGAACUGGGCUGCCCAGGAGGAGCAAUGGUGCUUCUACAAUUUCCUUAUAGGAGGAGUGAAGAGUAAGCAUUUGGAUUGGACCAGGAUUUGGAGAACUUGUCAUGUUGCUCUACGUGCAUAUGAAAUACAUCAUUGUAACUUAGAAUGUGAAUUACAGAACAAACAUGAAAGUUAGAAAAA